UUGGUGAAGCGGAGGGACAUUAGAGAGUGCCCUACUCCCAAAAACCCACUGUGAACUUACCUGUACGUUGCCUCGGCGGGGGGGGAGGGGCUGGCCACCCCCCCCCUUCCCGCCAGGCGGCCCAACCAAAAACACUGUUUCGCCCUGAAUCUCUAAAAAACCAUACAAACAAGUUAAAACUUUCAACAACGGAUCUCUUGGCUCUGGCAUCAAUGAAAAACGCAGCGAAAUGCGAUACGUAGUGUGAAUUGCAAAAUUUAGUGAAUCAUCAAAUCUUUAAACGCACUUUGCGCCCGCCAGUAUUCUGGCGGGCAUGCCUGUUCAAGCGCCAUUUCAACCCCUUAACCCCCCGUCGCUUAGUGUUGGGAGCCUACGGCGUCCUGCCGUCGCUCCUCAAAUCCAGUGGCGGAGCCGGCCUCGUGCUCUAGGCGUAGUAAAUUAUCCCUUCUCGCCUGCAGCCGGGGCCGGCCUCCCUGCCGUAAAACAAACCACUUAGUACCAAAAGGUUGACCUCGAAUCAGGUAGGAAUACCCGCUGAACUUAAGCUUAUCAAUAGGCCGCAAGAAGAAAUAGGA
Molecule: ribosomal RNA, 575 nt
Filed under: Rosellinia sp. 1 S92
Lineage: Eukaryota; Fungi; Ascomycota; Sordariomycetes; Xylariales; Xylariaceae
Description: eukaryotic LSU rRNA
Rfam family: 5.8S ribosomal RNA (bases 178-331)
Source: RNAcentral